RNAcentral lists this long non-coding RNA (1073 nucleotides) under Theobroma cacao (cacao). RNAcentral describes it as "long non-coding RNA (TCAC_LNC000994)". Lineage: Eukaryota; Viridiplantae; Streptophyta; Magnoliopsida; Malvales; Malvaceae. The record is from RNAcentral.
AGAAAUUGAGUAAUUGGAGACUGUUUGAUUGUGUUGUAAAUUUAUGGUUUGAAUUGAAUGGCUUAUGGUGAUAUUGGCAUGAAUGGGAAUUGGAAAUUGUGUUGAAAUUGUAUGAACUAUUUGUUUUGCCUUAACAGGCUGGGUAGUAAUAUAAUUGCCAUGUCAUGCUGUCGAAACUUUUAUUGAUUUGGUGGGAUAUUGAUUAGUCACUACAGUGGUGGGUUUUUGUAGACCAGCCUAUUAGAAAGGGGCACGGUGAACCAGGUUAUAUUUUACCUCGGUAUGAGAGGCGCGAAAGGUAUCUCCUGAGGUAAAGCUUUAGAGUUCACUACACGCUAAACCACCACGUGAGGGUGAACUCAGCCAACGCUAAGGAACGAUUAUGCUUUUAAACGUAAAAAUGUAUUUCAUGCGUAUAUGAACUUUUCUUUAAUAGCCUUGGCGGACUCAGUUGGAUGCCCUGGCCAAGGUAUCCCCGAGAAUGAGUUUUGGCACGAGCCAAAUUUUUAAGAAAUUCAUAAGCCAUGUUGAUUAUUUGAGUGAAAUGAAAUUAUUUUAUUUAGUUGAAAUGAGUUUGAAACGUUAUGAAUCAUAGUACGAUGAACUAUUUUAAGUUGUCUCAAUUUACUCGACUUUAGAUAUUUUAGAUGAUGUUUGUUUACUCACUGAGUUAUAUAAACUCACCACCCUCAUUUUCACUCAUUUCAGGCUCAGGAUAUUCUGUAGAUAGCUGAUUUCGUCGAGGAUCUACUUAAGGAUUUACAUCCUUAGAAAUCAAAGGUCUACCUUCUUGUACAUAUUUGUUUAUUUUGGGGGCCCACAUGUCAUUGUAGAAUAUUUUGUAUACCUGGCUGCGUGUGCCACUGUAUGUAUGAAUAUAUUUUGCUUUUACGCUACAAAAAUUAUUUACGUAGAGUUCUAUAAAUAUUGUUUUAUAAGAAAAUAAAAUAUUUUAUUUAAUAUUUUUAAUUAGUUUGAUUAGCCAUAAUUUCAUUUCAAAUGGAUGAUUUAGAUUGCUAAAAUUAUUUUUAGAUAAGAAAUGUAUAUUUUUCUAUUGUAUACUGUAUUUUCAC